Non-coding RNA from Amborella trichopoda, 1325 nucleotides. The record is from RefSeq and is a predicted model, not a curated record. Lineage: Eukaryota; Viridiplantae; Streptophyta; Magnoliopsida; Amborellales; Amborellaceae.
GCUUUUCUAAUCAUUAUUCUCGAAGAUAGAUAUCUCUCUUUCUCUCUCAGUGUUCUAAACCCUCUGCUUAUGCAUCGAAUUCCACCAUUUUGUUUUGUUCUCUCACUAUAUUAAUUAUUGAAAGUGAAAAAUUUAGUCUCUAAUUCUCUAUCUCUAUUUAGUGUUUCUCUCUAAGAUUUGUUUUUUGGUUUCUGGAUUUUUCAAACAUUUGUUCCAAGAAUCUUUGGGUCUAAAGGGAGAUAUUGGAGAAAAAGCAAUUUAUUCGUUGCCUCAGGAUGUCGUCACACGUUAACGUACCCCGGAGGGAUGCUAUAUCCUACAAAAGUCAGACUCAAGCUUAUGGGUAUUCAAAAGAGUAGAAAGGAGGAAGAAGAAUCUCAAGACUUGUUACGAUUUGAAACUCAAGAUCUUGAUGACCAAGUCUUGCGCGCCCAUAUACAAAAUGGAUACCUAUAUUUACAAAUGUCAAAGCAUGGUGUUGCUCCAUUCAGGAUAAGUUGGAAAGGACCUCACCUUGUUGCGCAGCAGGACAACUGAUUUUGAAACUUCUGGUUCAUGAAAUAGUGUCUGAAGUUCUACGGUGAAGUUGGAGGAUUGAGGAUUAUGUGCGUGCUCAUGAGUGUGCCAUGCUGAUGGACAUCAAUAUUGUGUUAGAAGGCUUAUCAUCUUGAACGAGGGGGUUUAAAGUAAAAAUAUUCAGUCCUUUGGUAGAAGAUGAAACGUAAAACUAGGUGGUAGAGUUGGGAUUUACGCUAGUAGUAUUGGCUCAUGUUUGGGACAAUUCCAUGCCGAAUGAAAAGAACAGUAUGUUAUGUCAGGAGUGGAGGUCUUGCUGUUCAACCAUUGCGUGCAUGUUUACAGCUCUGUUGUAGGAAGCUUGGUUGCUGGCUGUACAGGAACAUGCAUAGUUUAGUAUUUCACCCCCAUCAUGAUGCAUGGAGGACAUGUCCAUCUUCAAUGCCAUAAAAGAAGUUCAUUUGCAUAGAGGGUGUGGAAUAAAGGGAGUUGUCAACCCCAGCUGCGCCUCCUAUUUCCGAGCCUUCAAUAAUCGAAGGCAUCGGUGCAUUUAUCACCGAGGCUAUGGAUGAAUAUCAUGCUGCAACAUAGAGAGCUUGGUCAUGUGCACAUGUUUUGCUUCAUUUGGCGAGGUUCUCAUUUGAAACUGAAGGAACUAAGCAGGCAUUAGCAAUUGCUUUUUGUAAAGCUGCAUUUUCAUGUUCUCUUGACAUUCAAAGCAAGCUAGUGGCUUUGAGGAAGCCGCUUUUGCUCGUUAUUGCAUCUCGUUGUAUAUGUUUCCUUGAUUAUAUAAAAAAGGUUUUGGAGAA